Molecule: ribosomal RNA, 2442 nt
Filed under: Triticum aestivum (bread wheat)
Lineage: Eukaryota; Viridiplantae; Streptophyta; Magnoliopsida; Poales; Poaceae
Description: partial small subunit ribosomal RNA
Source: RNAcentral
AUGGCGGUUGCAGCCGACGGGGGCAUGGUGGAGGAGGACCCGUUCACCAUCCUAGUUGAAUUGCUCAAUAGUGAUGAAUUUCUCAGCAAUGCCAACCGGCGCAAGAAAGAACCCAUUCCAGAAUUUCUCGCGAACUCUCCCUUAACCAUUUUUGAAAGUGUGAAAUACAUCGGCAGCAACGAGACUCAUCCCGAUUACCAAGGAGUGUGCAUCCUUGUUGUACAAUCACUACCUUCCUUACCAAUCACCGCAUCACCAUAUUUUCUCCGGUCUCAAAUACUUCGAAGUAAAAUGUUUCACCCCACCGACGAGGAGGUGGUCACGCACUACAUCAUUCCCAAGAUCUAUAACCCCUACUUCUCCUGUCAUGUGGUCACCGACGUCAACCUCAACAACAACGACCAGUGGGAUCUCCUGAUUAAGUGUAAAGAGGUGAAUGUGGAUGCGAAGGUGUGGUUUCUUUUUGUGCACAUGGAUCGGAAGUACCUGACGGGCAUGCGCACCAACCGUGCAACUAGGAGUGUCGGCAUGAACAAGACGCUCGUCUUCUACCACGGCCACGCCACCAGCGGCCAGAAGACACCAUGGGUGCUGAACGAGUACCACCUCGUGGGCCACUUGCCCCAUCUCCUACCCCCUCUGCCAAAUGAACUCUCCCUAGUCAAUCUAUCGGUCCUCAUGAAGCAUCUCCAAAUUGCAGUAGUGCACGCCUCCCUUGAGGGCAUAUACAUGAGGUGUUGGUUGUGGUGGUUCCCAAGUUCCUUCCUAAUCAUCGGCAACAUCCCAAUAAUAGUUGACUGCUCGUGGUCAUGGCACUAUUGUUCAUGGCCAUGUCUUCCUGAAUCGAGACACUGUAUCGCGAUAGUUUUGCCACAGAAAAUGGUAAAGCGGUGUCAAGAUAUUUGUCGUGGUGUAUACCAGAAAAGUUGGGAUGCCAUAGAGAUGGCAGAGCAGAAAGAUAGAGGGGAGGAGAUGAUAGAAGAGGUCAUUGAGUCGAAGUUCUUUAUGUCGUGGAAAAUUGAGUGUUUGUGUAUGGAAGGAAAAAUCAGCCUAUCCACAGAAGAGAGACGCGUGCACCCUCCCUCCCCAUCCCCUCGCCCCCUCCGCCGGCGCCGGCGCGAUGGCAGGCGACGCGCCGCCGAUGAAGAGGCCCAAGCUGGAGUAGGACGACGCUGGUCCCGCCACCCCUCCGCGGCCAACGGCUCCGCGCCCAGGCCCCCCGCUGCCUCCCCCAGCGAUGCGCCGCCGCCGGGCGGGGAGGAGCACGACGAGGACCUCCCGGAGGAGGCUGUGCUCGCGCUCAUCGCCCACCACGAGCGCGAGGUCGAGCGCUACAAGCUCAAGCUGGAAGCCACUGAGAAGAAGCUGGCCGACACGCGGUCGAGGCUCGCCCGGCACCGAGGCCGCGCCCCCGAUCGGAGCCACCCGCCUCCGCCGCCGCCGCCCGUCCAGAAGGCCGCCGCGCCGGAUUGCAGGUCGCCGCCUCCGAGCCAGAGGGACCCCCCCAAGCUGUCCGCGCCCAGCCAGAAGCCCCCCGCGCCGCAGGCGAGGCCGCAGCUCGUCAUCCCCGCACGUCCGCUCCUCCUGCCAUCCUCGCCCACGAGCUCGCUAUGCUGCACAUGCGCCAAACAACCUCGUCUCUGGUUUCGACUCCCUGUAACACUUGUAAAAAGCUUGCUACAAAUUGCUGAGUGCUUCCUUGCACGUGCCCAUGGGGGAGGGAGCAGCGAGGUGAGUGGCAAAAAAAAUGCAAACCAAAUCCAAAUCCGGCUACGCCAUCGCCGCUGGUGCCCCUUACCUCAUGCGCGGCCAUGGCCCCUGCCGUCGCAGCCCCACCGCCGCUCUGUCCAUGGAUCCCCGCACCACGACAUCGAGGUCAUGGAUCCCCUUACCCAGCAUGCUGCCACUGCCGCCUCCAUCCAGCCGGGCCUCCGCCUCAACCAUCCAGCACACUCUCGCCGCUACAACCAUCCAGCAUGCGGCCGCCGCGUCCUUCUAGUGCACCAUCACCGCCGAUCAAGAAAUGGUGGCACGACAUGGGUCGUCACCCCACGGUCUCCUCCAUCGUCAAGAUCGUAUGUGUGCCGUCCUCAGUCCAACCCCAUGGCAUUAGGAUGGCCAAGUUUGUCACGAGCAACAGUCCAUGGAUGUCGGCUUCAACUUUCCUCCGCAAAGGUCCUUUUGCUCGGUGAUGCAAGGCAUGCACUCUUCUCCCACGCGAGUUCUCUCUCACUGUCCGUUGCUCAUUCUGUAUGCUUUAUUGUGCAUAAUCUUGAGGAAAUCCCCAAAAAUCAUGUGUGCACUCAAGAUGGAGAGCUCGGUCUUUUUUUCGUGGAGCUGGCGCUGCUGCAGUACGGCCUAGUCCAGUCUAAGCCCUCCAUGGUUGCUGCUGCUGUUUCGGCAACUAGGCUCACCCCUGAAGAAGACCCCUAUGUGGAUUGA